Long non-coding RNA from Acanthochromis polyacanthus (spiny chromis), 1189 nucleotides. RefSeq lists it as uncharacterized. The record is from RefSeq and is a predicted model, not a curated record. Lineage: Eukaryota; Metazoa; Chordata; Actinopteri; Pomacentridae. The transcript is spliced from 3 exons.
UCCCUGGACAUCGCAUAGCCAACAGAUUAAUUAGACAACUGAUCGUGGUGCUCUCUCUUACUGCUGGCCCACUGAGUUUUCUUUUUCUUUUUCACUUCUUGUAAGCCUCUAAUUUCUGUCUUUACAUUAAUGGAGCUUACUUGGUGUGCCGACCCAGGGGAGGCAAAAAUUAAGUCUCCUUUUUGCCUCCGGGGGGCUGCGGCUUAUUCUGCAGCUAGUUUGCUUCAUCCGUUUGGUGAGGGAAAACAUUACACCAGGCAGCAGACUUUACAGAUCCUGAAAUUAAAUAAAUAAAUAAAAAAGCUUACAUUUCAUUAGCGCUUUUGCAUUGUAUCGCACAAUCUUACAGAGAAGGUUGCAAUCUAUAAAUAAAAGCAAAGGGCGUUUUGCGAGAGCAGCCACUGUUUCAUGUUCUUCUAUUCAACGUCUGUCAACCCUCUCUGGACAAGGGUCCACGUUGGUUGCCUUGGAAACGAGCACAGGACUAUUCUGAGCGCCCGGCAGUAAGGGAGAGAGGAAGCGAGUGUAGUAAAGCUUUUUCAAGAUGGUCCCUGCAUGCCUCCAGUUCAGUUGCAACUGGUGCGAACCGCAAGACAUGAAGCCAGAUGUGGACGCCGAAGUGGACGUGAUGCGUCGCAGAAUGAAGAUGGAGCAUCUGCUACCCAGAAAGAUGGCACCAGCAGAACCUGGUGCCAGGUGGUGCACAAGCCUGCCCUGGAUGGCGACAACUUCCAUUGAAUCCCGAAGCCCAGGGAUUAUCCCAGAUGUGCUCAUGUCACUGAUUCAUGCAGCGGUUUCCAUGUCAUCUCACUCCAUCCUGGAAGAGGGCUUCAGGGCUGAGAGGGAGGAGUUCAUGGUUACACUAAGACAGAUAAACUUCCUCCACCUUCAGUGUUUGCGGCAUACUUCAGGCAUGUGGCUUUGUUCACUGAAAGAGUACACGUUUUUGAACCCUUCUACAACUGCAGGAUAAGGGAAAGUUUCCAAACAAAAGACACUGUGAUCAUCUCUAGGUUCAGGGAUUUUUACCUGGGAGAGGAAAAGCUCUUUUGCUGGAUGUCUUUGUUUCCCACUGACUGUGGGCCAAGAGUGUUCCUGUGAUUUCUUUGACAUGUGCAGUCAGUCUACUGUAAAUGCCCUGAGACUGAAUUAACCUUCCUGUACCUUCAACAAUAAAAGUAUAUCUAUC